AGGACGAACGCUGGCGGCGCGCCUAAUACAUGCAAGUCGAGCGAGAAACUCGGGGCUUGCCCCGGGUGGACAGCGGCGAACGGGUGAGUAACACGUGAGCAACCUGCCCUCAGCUCUGGGAUAGCUCCCGGAAACGGGAAUUAAUACCGGAUAUGACCCUGACCGACAUCUGUCAGGGUGAAAGGUUUACCGGCUGAGGAUGGACUCGCGGCCUAUCAGCUAGUUGGUGGGGUAACGGCCUACCAAGGCGACGACGGGUA
This 260-nucleotide ribosomal RNA is filed under the name uncultured bacterium. Its description in RNAcentral is "partial small subunit ribosomal RNA". It matches the Rfam family "Bacterial small subunit ribosomal RNA", at positions 26 to 285 of the family's 1533-position model. The record is from RNAcentral.